CACACCGCCCGUCACACCAUGGGAGUCGUUUGCUCCAGAAGUGCCUAAGCCGAACUCGCAAGAGAGGCAGGGCCCCAAGGAGUGAACGGUAACUGGGGUG
RNAcentral lists this ribosomal RNA (100 nucleotides) under uncultured bacterium. RNAcentral's name for it is "partial 16S ribosomal RNA". It matches the Rfam family "Bacterial small subunit ribosomal RNA", at positions 1386 to 1482 of the family's 1533-position model. The record is from RNAcentral.